AUGAAUUGAAAAGAGUCGUGGAUCAACUUCCAGGCUCGACCCUCUUCAUUUUCCUACCCUGUGCAUUUUUUAUUACCAAAGGUGGUCCUAUCGUGCCGAAAGCUGCCUAUUAGCAGUGAUUACGUUUUAGGCUGCCGCUUUUUUACAUUUAAACUCUACAAGUUAAUGUAUGUUACAAAAACUAUAACAAAGAA
Molecule: unclassified non-coding RNA, 194 nt
Filed under: uncultured Rhodotorula
Lineage: Eukaryota; Fungi; Basidiomycota
Description: sequence contains ITS1
Source: RNAcentral